Cavia aperea (Brazilian guinea pig) is the source of this 142-nucleotide small nuclear RNA. Its record names the gene U1. It matches the Rfam family "U1 spliceosomal RNA". From Rfam's summary of the family: U1 is a small nuclear RNA (snRNA) component of the spliceosome (involved in pre-mRNA splicing). Its 5' end forms complementary base pairs with the 5' splice junction, thus defining the 5' donor site of an intron. The record is from Ensembl. NCBI's taxonomy places the organism in Eukaryota, Metazoa, Chordata, Mammalia, Rodentia, Caviidae.
AUACUUACGUGGUAGAGAGAUACCAUGGAGAAAGGUGGUUUUCUCCAGGGCUAGGCUCAUCCAUUGCGUUCCAGAUAUGCGGAACCCUGCGAUUUCCUCAAAUGUGGGAAACUAACUGUGAAUAUUUUUCAUAUAGUUCACC